CUGACACAGGGAGGUAGUGACAAGAAAUAACAAUACAGGGCUAAUGUCUUGUAAUUGGAAUGAUGGUGUACCCAAACCCUCACCAGAGUAGCAAUUGGAGGGCAAGUCUGGUGCCAGCAGCCGCGGUAAUUCCAGCUCCAAUAGCGUAUAUUAAACUUGUUGCAGUUAAAAAGCUCGUAGUUGAAUUUUAGCGUGUUCGAGUUUGCCAUUCGUUUGGCUUUUUCGAGUUCGCUUUUGGGUUUUCCCUUUUUACUUUGAGAAAAUUAGAGUGUUUCAAGCAGACUUUUGUCUUGAAUACUUCAGCAUGGAAUAAUAGAGUAGGACUUUGGUUCUAUUUUGUUGGUUAUUGAACCUUAGUAAUGGUUAAUAGGAACGGUUGGGGGCA
RNAcentral lists this ribosomal RNA (385 nucleotides) under Babesia vogeli. RNAcentral describes it as "SSU rRNA". It matches the Rfam family "Eukaryotic small subunit ribosomal RNA", at positions 451 to 890 of the family's 1831-position model. The record is from RNAcentral. Lineage: Eukaryota; Apicomplexa; Aconoidasida; Piroplasmida; Babesiidae.